GUGCUUGCUUCAGCAGCACAUAUACUGAAAUUGGAACAACACAGAGAUUAGCAUGGCCCCUGCACAAGGAUGACAUGCAAAUUUGUGAAGCAUUCCAUAUUUUU
This is a small nuclear RNA of Perognathus longimembris pacificus (Pacific pocket mouse), 104 nucleotides long. The record is from RefSeq and is a predicted model, not a curated record. Lineage: Eukaryota; Metazoa; Chordata; Mammalia; Rodentia; Heteromyidae.